This 440-nucleotide ribosomal RNA is filed under the name uncultured bacterium. RNAcentral's name for it is "bacterial SSU rRNA". It matches the Rfam family "Bacterial small subunit ribosomal RNA", at positions 338 to 795 of the family's 1533-position model. The record is from RNAcentral.
CCUACGGGAGGCAGCAGUGGGGAAUCUUGCGCAAUGGGCGAAAGCCUGACGCAGCGACGCCGCGUGGGUGAAGAAGUUUUUCGGAAUGUAAAACCCUGUCAGGGGGGACAAUUAUGAUGGUACCCCCAGAGGAAGCCCCGGCUAACUACGUGCCAGCAGCCGCGGUAAUACGUAGGGGGCGAGCGUUAUCCGGAUUUACUGGGCAUAAAGCGCAUGUAGGCGGUGGCUUAAGUCAGAUGUUAAAUCCCUCAGCUUAACUGAGGUCCGCAUUUGAAACUGGGUUACUUAGAGAUCAGGAGAGGAAAGCGGAACUCACGGUGUAGCGGUGAAAUGCGUAGAUAUCGUGAGGAACACCAGUUGCGAAGGCGGCUUUCUGGACUGAAUCUGACGCUGAGAUGCGAAAGCGUGGGGAGCAAACGGGAUUAGAUACCCUUGUAGUC